Molecule: small nuclear RNA, 165 nt
Filed under: Saimiri boliviensis boliviensis (Bolivian squirrel monkey)
Lineage: Eukaryota; Metazoa; Chordata; Mammalia; Primates; Cebidae
Description: U1 spliceosomal RNA (ENSSBOG00000008776.1)
Rfam family: U1 spliceosomal RNA
About the family: U1 is a small nuclear RNA (snRNA) component of the spliceosome (involved in pre-mRNA splicing).
Source: Rfam by way of RNAcentral
AUACUUACCUGGCAGGGGACAUACCAUGGUCACGAAGCUGGUUUUCCCAGGGCGAGGCUUAUCCAUUGCACUCCGGAUAUGCUGACCCCUGUGAUUUUCCCAAAUGUGGCAAACUUGACUGCCUAAUUUGUGGUAGUGGGGGGACUGCGUUUGCACUUUCCCCUG